UGGGGAAUAUUGCACAAUGGGCGCAAGCCUGAUGCAGCGACGCCGCGUGAGGGAUGACGGCCUUCGGGUUGUAAACCUCUUUCGCCUACGACGAAGCGACAGUGACGGUAGUAGGAGAAGAAGGACCGGCCAACUACGUGCCAGCAGCCGCGGUAAUACGUAGGGUCCGAGCGUUGUCCGGAAUUACUGGGCGUAAAGAGCUCGUAGGUGGUUUGUCGCGUUGUUCGUGAAAACUCACAGCUUAACUGUGGGCGUGCGGGCGAUACGGGCAGACUGGAGUACUGCAGGGGAGACUGGAAUUCCUGGUGUAGCGGUGGAAUGCGCAGAUAUCAGGAGGAACACCGGUGGCGAAGGCGGGUCUCUGGGCAGUAACUGACGCUGAGGAGCGAAAGCGUGGGGAGCGAACAGGAUUAGAUACCCCCGUAGUCC
This 429-nucleotide ribosomal RNA is filed under the name uncultured prokaryote. RNAcentral describes it as "bacterial SSU rRNA". It matches the Rfam family "Bacterial small subunit ribosomal RNA", at positions 355 to 796 of the family's 1533-position model. The record is from RNAcentral.